This 100-nucleotide transfer RNA is filed under the name Nitrospina sp. RNAcentral's name for it is "tRNA-Ser". Lineage: Bacteria; Pseudomonadati; Nitrospinota; Nitrospinia; Nitrospinales; Nitrospinaceae. The record is from RNAcentral.
GGGUAUUAACUUAUUUUUGGUAAGAAUUGAAACGGCGUGAAACGACUACAUUGCCCGGCUCAUAACCGGUAGGUCACAGGUUCGAAUCCUGUUGGGCCCA